GUGAACCUGCGGAAGGAUCAUUAUUGAAUUAUGUUUUCUAGAUGGGUUGUAGCUGGCUCUUCGGAGUAU
Molecule: ribosomal RNA, 69 nt
Filed under: Agaricus bisporus (cultivated mushroom)
Lineage: Eukaryota; Fungi; Basidiomycota; Agaricomycetes; Agaricales; Agaricaceae
Description: partial small subunit ribosomal RNA
Source: RNAcentral